GGGUUCAUGGUCUAGUUGGUUAUGACGUCGCCCUUACAAGGCGAAGAUCCCCAGUUCGAAUCUGGGUGAACCCA
Molecule: transfer RNA, 74 nt
Filed under: Candidatus Nanohalococcus occultus
Lineage: Archaea; Nanobdellati; Candidatus Nanohalarchaeota
Description: Candidatus Nanohaloarchaeota archaeon SVXNc tRNA-Val
Rfam family: tRNA
About the family: Transfer RNA (tRNA) molecules are approximately 80 nucleotides in length.
Source: RNAcentral